This 384-nucleotide long non-coding RNA is filed under the name Citrus sinensis (sweet orange). RNAcentral describes it as "long non-coding RNA (CSIN_LNC005219)". Lineage: Eukaryota; Viridiplantae; Streptophyta; Magnoliopsida; Sapindales; Rutaceae. The record is from RNAcentral.
UUAGAUAAGCUUUAAAUGAGGUCUUGACUGGCAACCGCUGAAGUCGGUUAUGUAUUUAUGUAAUAGGGAGUGUCGGUUUCAUGAAAUGCAUCCAAAAGAGAACAGCUCUGUUUUAUGUGUGAAAAAAAAAAUUAGGGUUUAACGCAUCACGGUUGAGAAUUAAUCUAGAGGCUCGUAAAUAGAAAGAAGACGAUCGUAAACUCUUAGGAGGAAAAGAUUUCAUUGAUUCACUUGUGUUGCAAAUUGGGCUCUAAGCCGUAUGAAUUCAAUGGUGAUUUUGUUACUCUAUCGAGUGUAACCGUGUAACUGAUUUCAUUUGAGAAUCAAUUUGGAGACAGCGAAAUCAGAAGAAGACGAUUGCAAUUUGUUUGUGGGGGGGGGGGG